AUUGAACGCUGGCGGCAUGCCUAACACAUGCAAGUCGAACGGCAGCAUAGGAGCUUGCUCCUGAUGGCGAGUGGCGAACGGGUGAGUAAUAUAUCGGAACGUGCCCUAGAGUGGGGGAUAACUAGUCGAAAGAUUAGCUAAUACCGCAUACGAUCUAAGGAUGAAAGUGGGGGAUCGCAAGACCUCAUGCCCCUGGAGCGGCCGAUAUCUGAUUAGCUAGUUGGUGGGGUAAAAGCCUACCAAGGCGACGAUCAGUAGCUGGUCUGAGAGGACGACCAGCCACACUGGGACUGAGACACGGCCCAGACUCCUACGGGAGGCAGCAGUGGGGAAUUUUGGACAAUGGGGGCAACCCUGAUCCAGCAAUGCCGCGUGAGUGAAGAAGGCCUUCGGGUUGUAAAGCUCUUUUGUCAGGGAAGAAACGGUUUUGGCUAAUAUCCAAGACUAAUGACGGUACCUGAAGAAUAAGCACCGGCUAACUACGUGCCAGCCGCCGCCGUAA
RNAcentral lists this ribosomal RNA (502 nucleotides) under uncultured bacterium. Its description in RNAcentral is "partial 16S ribosomal RNA". It matches the Rfam family "Bacterial small subunit ribosomal RNA", at positions 30 to 523 of the family's 1533-position model. The record is from RNAcentral.